Molecule: long non-coding RNA, 1112 nt
Filed under: Equus asinus (donkey)
Lineage: Eukaryota; Metazoa; Chordata; Mammalia; Perissodactyla; Equidae
Description: lncRNA (ENSEASG00005034071.1)
Source: RNAcentral
CUCUGGACAAGUUGUCUAGGCUCUGACCUCAGCCUCCCCCAUGGACAUAGGAACCACAGGCAGCACCCUCACCCCACGGAGCCAGGGGAGGGUUGCCUGAGCCCAGCUUGCCCUUGAGACUCAUGGGUUGGUGUAACUUCGGCCACAGCCAAGGGAGGCCAGCAUCACCCACCCCGUGGCCACUGUCCUCAAAAUGGCCUGAAGUGGGGAGGGAACAUGUCAUGCUCACCUGACUGACCAGUUGCGGUGUGAGUUGUGCCUCCUGCACUCACAUCGAGGUGGGCAGUGUGAGACGGCAGAGCCGCUCACAAAGGAGACAAGUGCCUCCAACUGCUAUGGACAAGAGCAGUCAGGGUGCCAGGCAGUGGGCGGAACUUGGGGGUGCUGCCAUUCCACCAGGCCAUGGGGUGACAGGUGCAGCCUGAAGGGCUUCCCAGCUUCAUCCGCAUGUCUCUCAGCAGCGAGGUGAUAGGAUGCCUCGUCAUCAGGAGCCACUGUCCUCCCUCAGGUGUCAGCUUCCACCUCAUGUCCCUUUGCUGUUUGGUCUUUUAAAGAGCGGGUUUGCGGAAGCGCCCUCCACUCAGGAAAUCGGAAGGGCAGACAUUUCCCUGUUCCGUGCUCUUCUCUGACUCUGAUUACACAUUUCCCACAGAGACACGUGACUCUGUGGGGUGCAUGUGUCACUUGUUGUAAGUGGCUCCCGGGACACGUGUUCCCUUGGAAAGGCUGUUCUGGGUCACGGCAGUAUCACACUGAGUCAUCUCUGUGUUUUCAUUGCUGUCAGGCUCAUCCCUCUGGUGACAGCUCCUCAAGUUUUCCUGGAUUUUCUUGUUCAGUGAUUUCUCCAUGUGAACUUAAAAUCAGCUCAUCUAGGUCCCCAAAUCCCCGAGUCAUGUUUUCCUGGGCUCAUCUGUACUUUGACAUAAGGAGAAGCACGUCUUCUCGGGGGCCUCCUGUCCAGCAAAGGGACAGCUGUCCUCUCACUCCCUCCUGGUACUGGACGCCGAUGGUGCUGGACUCAAGCGAUUCCUGCCUGGGACAGGGAAGGGGGUGGCUGGCUGGCACACGGACUCUCACCUGGCAGGGAGUGGUGGGUGAGGGGUCUCUGUACA